GAUAAUGGUGUUUCGGGGACGCUGAAUGCGGAAGUCGCAUCGACGGAGGCGGCCAGUGAGGAAAUUUCUGAUUCUGUUGGGACUGAGGCCUGAUCUUAUUAGGGUUUUUAACUUCAUAUUGGUAUGUUUUAGGAUUUUUUUUCCAUGUUUAUUAUAAUGAGUACUGUUUGUACUAAAUUAUGGGUUUCUCUGAUGAUUAUCAUAUAAU
Molecule: unclassified non-coding RNA, 208 nt
Filed under: Hevea brasiliensis (rubber tree)
Lineage: Eukaryota; Viridiplantae; Streptophyta; Magnoliopsida; Malpighiales; Euphorbiaceae
Source: RNAcentral